This 874-nucleotide ribosomal RNA is filed under the name uncultured prokaryote. RNAcentral describes it as "bacterial SSU rRNA". It matches the Rfam family "Archaeal small subunit ribosomal RNA", at positions 533 to 1400 of the family's 1478-position model. The record is from RNAcentral.
GUACAUUCGUGGGUAAAUCAACCAGCUCAACUGGUUGAAUUCUGCGAGCACGGCCAGACUUGGGACCGGGAGAGGUGUGGGGUACGCUCAGGGUAGGGGUAAAAUCCUGUCAUCCUGAGCGGACCACCUGUUGCGAAGGCGCCACACUAGAACGGAUCCGACGGUCAGGGACGAAGCCUAGGGGCACGAACCGGAUUAGAUACCCGGGUAGUCCUAGGUGUAAACGCUGUGGACUUGGUGUUGGGGAUGAUCCGAUCAUUCUCAGUGCCGAAGCGAAGGUGAUAAGUCCACUGCCUGGGGAGUACGGUCGCAAGGCUGAAACUUAAAGGAAUUGGCGGGGGAGCACCGCAACCUGAGGAUUGUGCGGUUUAAUUGGAUUCAACGCCGGAAAACUCACCAGUGCCGACGGACAGAUGAAAGCCAGUGUGAUGAGCUUGCUGGAUUGUUCGAGAGGUAGUGCAUGGCCGCCGUCAGUUCGUACCGUAAGGCGUUCUGUUAAGUCAGAUAACGAACGAGACCCUCAUCCCUAUUUGCUAAGGUUUCUCCCUUCGGGGCGAGAUCACAGGACUAUAGGGAGACCGCUGGCGAGAAGUCAGAGGAAGGUGAGGGCAACGGUAGGUCAGUAUGCUCCGAAUGCACUGGGCUACACGCGCAAUACAAAGGACGGGACAAUGGGCCGCUGCUCCGAGAGGAAAGAUGGCUAUCCCGAAACCCGUUCGUAGUUCGGAUUGAGGGCUGUAACUCGCCCUCAUGAAGCUGGAUUAGGUAGUAAUCGCGUCUCAAAAAGGCGCGGUGAAUAUGCCCCUGCUCCUUGCACACACCGCCCGUCAAACCAUCUUAGUUGGGGGUGGGUGAGGCUGCCUUUUAGUGGGGU